This 447-nucleotide ribosomal RNA is filed under the name uncultured bacterium. RNAcentral describes it as "partial 16S ribosomal RNA". It matches the Rfam family "Bacterial small subunit ribosomal RNA", at positions 330 to 793 of the family's 1533-position model. The record is from RNAcentral.
UCCAGACUCCUACGGGAGGCAGCAGUGGGGAAUAUUGCACAAUGGGGGAAACCCUGAUGCAGCGACGCCGCGUGAAGGAAGAAGUAUUUCGGUAUGUAAACUUCUAUCAGCAGGGAAGAAAAUGACGGUGCCUGACUAAGAAGCCCCGGCUAACUACGUGCCAGCAGCCGCGGUAAUACGUAGGGGGCAAGCGUUAUCCGGAUUUACUGGGUGUAAAGGGAGCGUAGACGGCGGCGCAAGUCCGGAGUGAAAGCCCGCGGCCCAACCGUGGGACUGCUCUGGAAACUGUGCAGCUUGAGUGCGGGAGGGGCAGGCGGAAUUCCUAGUGUAGCGGUGAAAUGCGUAGAUAUCAGGAGGAACACCGGCGGCGAAGGCGGCCUACUGGACCGCGACUGACGUUGAGGCUCGAAAGCGUGGGGAGCGAACAGGAUUAGAUACCCCUGUAAA